UACGUAGGGUGCAAGCGUUAAUCGGAAUUACUGGGCGUAAAGCGUGCGUAGACGGUUAUGUAAGUCGGGUGUGAAAGCCCCGGGCUCAACCUGGGAAUUGCAUUCGAGACUGCAUAGCUAGGGUGCGGAAGAGGGAAGCGGAAUUUCCGGUGUAGCGGUGAAAUGCGUAGAUAUCGGAAGGAACACCAGUGGCGAAAGCGGCUCCUGGUCCAGCACCGACGUCAGGCACGAAAGCGUGGG
RNAcentral lists this ribosomal RNA (240 nucleotides) under uncultured bacterium. RNAcentral's name for it is "partial 16S ribosomal RNA". It matches the Rfam family "Bacterial small subunit ribosomal RNA", at positions 524 to 765 of the family's 1533-position model. The record is from RNAcentral.